RNAcentral lists this long non-coding RNA (643 nucleotides) under Malus domestica (apple). RNAcentral describes it as "long non-coding RNA (MDOM_LNC019148)". The record is from RNAcentral. Lineage: Eukaryota; Viridiplantae; Streptophyta; Magnoliopsida; Rosales; Rosaceae.
AAUCGUUGUAAAAGUGUGACUAAUAAGAAGUAGAAGAUAUAUGAGAGAAGGAAAAGGUGCUUCACAUUCGGAACGUGAAUAAAAUAUAGAUCUCUGCGAAAGCAGAUAGUACUUACUUCCUCAUAUGAACUACCAAAGAAAUUGAAAAAAACAAAGAUUGUCUUUACAUUCCAAUUUUAAGGAAUUUAAUUCCGUCACUAUAGUAGAGAUGGAUGAAUGUUUUGUUUGACAAAACAUUGUUCUUUAUUAAUCAAUGAUUGGAUUAUAGUAAUCUAAUUGAUUGUCUCUAUAGUAGAGAUAAUAUGGUGGUGUUAACUGUUUAGAACAUAAUGAUGCUUAAAACCCAAAAAGGUUGCAAGGUAGUGACUAAUCCCAACUAAGUUGUGAUUCCUCUAAAAACAUAAGUUAUGAGUUGGUGAAAGAUGGAUGCUUUGGAUUGUUAGAUCCGGAUCCAAUACCUUCUUGUUAAAAUUGUAUAGAGGCGAAAUGUUCGAAUCUUUAUUCUUUUGGAAAGAAGAAAGAAUCACAAAGUUGUUGAGGUUAAUUCACUUAGAUGUUAGUGGCACUUAUCCACAACAUAAUACUACUCAUGUUGGAUGACAUUCACCGAAGAUCACUCUCGGUUGGACUAUAGUUUAUUUUG